RNAcentral lists this ribosomal RNA (399 nucleotides) under uncultured bacterium. RNAcentral describes it as "bacterial SSU rRNA". It matches the Rfam family "Bacterial small subunit ribosomal RNA", at positions 28 to 419 of the family's 1533-position model. The record is from RNAcentral.
GAUGAACGCUGGCGGCGUGCCUAAUACAUGCAAGUCGAACGAGGUGCUUUUGUAGCAAUACGAGAGUAUCCUAGUGGCGAACGGGUGAGUAACGCGUUGGUGACCUACCCCAAAGUGUGGGAUAACAGUCCGAAAGGAUUGCUAAUACCGCAUGUGGUCUUCGGAUUUAGAAACUGAUGACUAAAGGAGCAAUUCGCUUUGGGAGGGACCUGCGUCCCAUCAGCUAGUUGGUGAGGUAAUGGCUCACCAAGGCUACGACGGGUAGGGGACCUGAGAGGGUGACCCCCCCACAAUGGAACUGAAACACGGUCCAUACACCUACGGGUGGCAGCAGUAGGGAAUAUUGCACAAUGGGCGAAAGCCUGAUGCAGCAACGCCGCGUGUGCGAUGAAGGCCUUC